Molecule: ribosomal RNA, 253 nt
Filed under: uncultured bacterium
Lineage: Bacteria
Description: partial 16S ribosomal RNA
Rfam family: Bacterial small subunit ribosomal RNA
Source: RNAcentral
GACGAACCGUGCGAACGUUAUUCGGAAUCACUGGGCUUAAAGGGCGCGUAGGCGGGCCGCAUAGCCAAGGGUGAAAUCCUCCGGCUCAACCGGAGAAGGGCCUUUGGUACUGGCGGCCUCGAGGGGUGCAGGGGCGUGCGGAACUCAGGGUGGAGCGGUGAAAUGCGUAGAUAUCCUGAGGAACACCGGUGGCGAAGGCGGCACGCUGGACACCUUCUGACGCUGAGGCGCGAAAGCCAGGGGAGCAAACGGG